UGUAAGAGUGAGCCUGCUCGCGAUUGCGGUGUGUCAGGCACAAAGUUUCAACUGACACACCGCAAUCGCGAGCAGGCUCACUCCUACA
Molecule: unclassified non-coding RNA, 88 nt
Filed under: Pseudomonas moraviensis
Lineage: Bacteria; Pseudomonadati; Pseudomonadota; Gammaproteobacteria; Pseudomonadales; Pseudomonadaceae
Source: RNAcentral